RNAcentral lists this ribosomal RNA (460 nucleotides) under uncultured bacterium. Its description in RNAcentral is "partial 16S ribosomal RNA". It matches the Rfam family "Bacterial small subunit ribosomal RNA", at positions 338 to 795 of the family's 1533-position model. The record is from RNAcentral.
CCUACGGGAGGCAGCAGUGAGGAAUAUUGGUCAAUGGACGAGAGUCUGAACCAGCCAAGUAGCGUGAAGGAUGACUGCCCUAUGGGUUGUAAACUUCUUUUAUAAAGGAAUAAAACGAGGCACGUGUGCCUUUUUGCAUGUACUUUAUGAAUAAGGAUUGGCUAACUCAGUGCCAGCAGCCGCGGUAAUACGGAGGAUCCGAGCGUUAUCCGGAUUUAUUGGGUUUAAAGGGAGCGUAGAUGGGUUGUUAAGUCAGUUGUGAAAGUUUGCGGCUCAACCGUAAAAGUGCAAUUGAUACUGGCAGUCGUGAGUACAGUUGAGGUAGGCGGAAUUCGUGGUGUAGCGGUGAAAUGCUUAGAUAUCACGAAGAACCCCGAUUGCGAAGGCAGCUUACUAAACUGUGACUGACAUUGAUGCUCGAAAGUGUGGGUAUCAAACAGGAUUAGAUACCCCAGUAGUC